This 462-nucleotide ribosomal RNA is filed under the name uncultured Paludibacter sp. Its description in RNAcentral is "bacterial SSU rRNA". It matches the Rfam family "Bacterial small subunit ribosomal RNA", at positions 338 to 795 of the family's 1533-position model. Lineage: Bacteria; Pseudomonadati; Bacteroidota; Bacteroidia; Bacteroidales; Paludibacteraceae. The record is from RNAcentral.
CCUACGGGUGGCUGCAGUGAGGAAUAUUGGUCAAUGAGCGCGAGCUUGAACCAGCCACGUCGCGUGCAGGAAGACGGUCCUAUGGAUUGUAAACUGCUUUUACACAGGAAUAAAGUGAUAUACGAGCUAUAUCAUUGCAAGUACUGUGAGAAUAAGGAUCGGCUAACUCCGUGCCAGCAGCCGCGGUAAUACGGAGGAUCCAAGCGUUAUCCGGAUUUAUUGGGUUUAAAGGGUGCGUAGGCGGACUUAUAAGUCAGCGGUGAAAUUUUGCAGCUUAACUGUAAACGUGCCGUUGAAACUGUUAGUCUUGAGUGUAGAUAAGGUAGGCGGAAUGUGUUGUGUAGCGGUGAAAUGCUUAGAUAUGACACAGAACCCCAAUUGCGAAGGCAGCUUACUGGGUUACCACUGACGCUGAGAGCACGAAAGCGUGGGGAUCAAACAGGAUUAGAUACCCUGGUAGUC